This 492-nucleotide ribosomal RNA is filed under the name uncultured bacterium. RNAcentral describes it as "partial 16S ribosomal RNA". It matches the Rfam family "Bacterial small subunit ribosomal RNA", at positions 29 to 507 of the family's 1533-position model. The record is from RNAcentral.
AGUGAACGCUGGCGGUAGGCCUAACACAUGCAAGUCGAACGGCAGCACAGUAAGAGCUUGCUCUUACGGGUGGCGAGUGGCGGACGGGUGAGGAAUACAUCGGAAUCUACUUUUUCGUGGGGGAUAACGUAGGGAAACUUACGCUAAUACCGCAUACGACCUACGGGUGAAAGCAGGGGAUCUUCGGACCUUGCGCGAUUGAAUGAGCCGAUGUCGGAUUAGCUAGUUGGCGGGGUAAAGGCCCACCAAGGCGACGAUCCGUAGCUGGUCUGAGAGGAUGAUCAGCCACACUGGAACUGAGACACGGUCCAGACUCCUACGGGAGGCAGCAGUGGGGAAUAUUGGACAAUGGGCGCAAGCCGGAUCCAGCCAUACCGCGUGGGUGAAGAAGGCCUUCGGGUUGUAAGGCCCUUUUGUUGGGAAAGAAAAGCAGCAGGUUAAUACCCCGCUGUUCUGACGGUACCCAAAGAAUAAGCACCGGCUAACUUCGUG